GAAACGGUGCAACCUCAACCUUUAUAUCAUUAUUAUUUAGAGCCCGGUGGGUGUUUAACCGCGUGGGUGUUUCCAUUUGUGCCUGAGGACGUAGCCGCUGUGAAACAACCAGAAAGGGUUAGGGUUCCUCUCUCCAUCGUCCCGCUCCUGGCUGAUGCAACCGGGCCUCCGCAGACGGUGACAUCGCCGCACACCUCCAGAGGGUUUUGAUGUGGUACAAGUGAAACCCGGAGACGAUGUCACUCUGGGGUGUCUCGCUGGCGAAGGCCACAUCAAAGCUGUGGAGUGGACCAGAACUGACCUGGAGCCAGAGUACGUCCUCUUUUACAGCGACAGACGCUCAGAUCCAACCCAGCAGCAUUCAACCUUUCGGGGCCGGGUGCAGCUGGUGGACGGCGAGCUGAAGGAUAGAAACGUGUCUUUAAUUCUCAAGAACGUGAGCAGCAACGACAGCGGGACGUACGAGUGUCGAGUGUCCCUCGGUGGUUCGACGCGGGUUAAGAAAGCCCUCAUCGAGACUGAGCCGAUCUCGAGCAUCACACUGGAGGUCGCAGACUCAGGGCCCAGGAACGUCGAGGUCGGAAGCCACAUUCGUAUUGGACUGGCAGUGGGUUCUGUAGUGUUUUUCCUUUGUUAAGCUGGAUUGGUUGUUUCCUGGAAAAUGAGGAAGCUACCAGAGCAGCCUGCAGGUGGAUCGUGACCUGUGACCUCCCCCCCCCCUCUGCUUCUUCCUCCUGUACACCAGCAGCUGGACUUUCAACCCUCAGUCCCUUUCUUUCUCAUCAGCGAGACCUCGGGCCCCCACAAAUACUGACGACUGGAGUAAAAAGCAUAAACAUUAUAUUUCCAACAGCUCCGUCUGUUGUUGUUACAAACCAGAGACAAAUAAGCUGAGAUCAGGUGACCAAUCAUUCCUUCUCUGGAGUCACUGCCCUCUCCCAGUGUUCACUAAUCAAACUACAGAGCACCAGCCUCUCAAGGUCGGUGCUCGGUCCCCUCCAGUGUUACGCAGACAACCUCCAGUUCUACAUUUGUCUACAUAUUUCCCCUGUCUUUAUAUUUGUACGUACUCCUUUUGUAUUGUCUAGAUUUUCUAACUUUAUUUAAUAUUUUUCAAGGCUUCAUGGUGAUUCCUAUGUAUUCCACCAAUGUACCAAGUCCUCGUAUGUGUCAUUGUUAUGUUGUUGUUGAAAGGUACGUUUGCUGUCAUGUACUCUAGUAUAAGGAAAUUGUGUAAUUUUAAAUGUUCAUGUCAAUGUUUUAAGCACAUGUAUAGUCAGUACUUUAUUUCCUAACCUGCACACGUCGGGUUUUACUUCCUCUUUGCUCGGGGACUUUUCCCAGAAAGGUCCACAGUUCUGCUGCUCUCCGUAUUUUCAUUGUUUUUGUUGUAAAAGUGAAUGUAAGUUACCUACAAAUACUUGUAAAGCUGCUGUAGUCACAGUGUUAACUUGCAGACUUAUUUCUUUUCAUGCAUAAACUUUUUUUCUAAUUAGAGGAAAAGCAACGCAGAAUUAGACCCACUACAUAUGCACUGACUAGAAUAUGAAAUGUGUGUGAAAUAUGUAAUAAGUAAUAUUACUGCAAUAUUAAGACUGAAGAACUCUAAGAUAACAGUUAUUAGCUUUUGUUUUUGCUCUUUCAGCAAAUUUUGGGAUGAAAAUCUUUUAUAUUGUUAAGUUUUUUAGCUUUUCUUGUACAACAAGGGAUGCUGUGAAAUAAAGUCUUUAUUAAUGUGAAGUGUUUUAGUGUCUCUCAAUGGUGCAGAUGCUGUUUUAGAGGUUUUUAAUGCAAAAUCUAUCUAUUUGUGAUAUAUCUUGUUACCAUACAUGAAGCCUUUUAGGAUAUUAAUUUAAGACAUCUGGAUGUGUUUCAAAGACACAGAGUUUCCUUAAAUGUAAAUUAUAGCGUAUAGUAAUUCAUUUUACAAUCCUGUGUUUAUUGUUCAAUUAUUGUACAUGGAAACUAAAUCAAAAGUUUAUUAGACACUUAAACUGUUUUUCUCUAUAUUUCCCUUUACACUAA
Molecule: long non-coding RNA, 2025 nt
Organism: Dicentrarchus labrax (European seabass)
Lineage: Eukaryota; Metazoa; Chordata; Actinopteri; Moronidae
Source: Ensembl